Non-coding RNA from Solanum lycopersicum (tomato), 1346 nucleotides. The record is from RefSeq and is a predicted model, not a curated record. NCBI's taxonomy places the organism in Eukaryota, Viridiplantae, Streptophyta, Magnoliopsida, Solanales, Solanaceae.
CGAACCUACUCCCUCCUCUCUCUUUCAUCGUUUCCCGGCGAAGCGAAUUGCCGCCAUCAAGAGGCAUCAUCGUCUCUUCUCUCUCUUUCCUCACCUCUUCUCCUUCCCUUGUACCCCUCUUUUCCUGGAGAGACCAACCAAGAGGAAGCGAGCCCCAUCUAGUAGCAGCGGCGAAGCAACGAACACCAGCUGCAACCAGCAACUAGGCGAUCCAGCUUCGUCUAGAGCUCCGUUCAGCAGCUCCACGCAGCAGCUUUGCCGAAACAUUCUCCUCUCCACGAAGACGACAACAACAACACCAACCAGCAGCUCCGAUGAUGACCACAAACAUGAAUCCUUCACAACUCAAGGCAGCAAGAUCCGGAAAAAUAUUUAAUGUUUUAGUCGUUUGAAGACGAAUUUCAACAGAUCCGUCAAGAAAGGUUAGAGUUUUGGAGAAAGAACGCAAGAGAAGAAGAGAGGAAAGGUUAGAUAACAUUGGGUUCGUUCACCCAUGUGCCAGAUGCAGAUAACUAGGAUUGACAUUCCAGUGCACCGUUUGAUCCAAUGAUCAAUUCACGGUCAGUUGGUGAGUCUCCUUGCUUUUCGGAGGACUCAUUUUCAUUGCUUUCUAGUUUAGUUCAUUAAGAUGUUGUGGGUUCUGUCCCAACAUCUAUCUCAGUUAUUAGAGGCUUCAUAGAUAGUAACACAAAUGUUAGUUCUUUCGUCAUAAUUUUUUUAUUAAUCUCCACUUUGGCUAAGGUAAAUGUUUAUUUAAAACAUUUUGAUUUCAGUUCCAGAUAGUUGAGUUAGUUAGCAUCUUAAUCUUUGUGUUAAUGUUUCAAGUAUUCUGAUGAGUAAGUAAGCCAGACCAAGGAUUCGAUUGGGGCCAGCAAUGGUCUCCGAGUUACGCCCAUAUCCGAGGUGUAGGCUCGGGGCUUGAAAGUGCACUACUGUAAAAAAUAUGUGAUGAAAUUUUGUGUGAAGCAUGAAAUACUAUUGAUGAUUCUAAAUUUUUGGAACUGCGCUAAUAUUAACAUUGGCUUUAGCUUGUUUCUUUUAAAUUUUGCACUGAUGGAAUGGAUAAUCCUCACUAUAAUUGAUAUCUUAAUAUUUGCCGAUAUAUUGAUUUAAUUGUAUUAAUGAUAUUGUCUAAUUUUUUAUUUGUUGAUGGAUUCCUCUGAUUGUUGAAUUGAGUACUUGUUUAUUCCAUUUUGCUAUAAGUUUGAGUUGGUUGUUUUCUUGUCAAUUUGUUCAUUCGCCUAAUUACGGUAAGUAUAUAGAAUUGAUUUUGUAGAGAAGUAAGAAUAUUGCUCUUGGUUGAUUGUGUAACUUUAUUUUAGCGGUAUGCUUUAUCAAUUUAGGGU